GUUAUACUUAGGAGUCAGACUACGAGUGAUAAGAUCCGUGGUCAAGAGGGAAACAGCCCAGACCAUCAGCUAAGGUCCCCAAUGCCGUGCUAAGUGGGAAAGGAUGUAGCAUUUCACAAACAACCAGGAUGUUGGCUUAGAAGCAGCCAUCAUUAAAAGAGUGCGUAAUAGCUCACUGGUCGAGAGACGCUGCGCCGAAAAUACCCGGGGCUCAAGCACGGAACCGAAGCUAUGGCAUGCGUAAGCAUGGGUAGGGGAGCGUUCUGCAUAGGUAGAAGCAUGACCGUAAGGACAUGUGGACAGUGCAGAAGUGAGAAUGCCGGUAUGAGUAUCGAAAAGAAUGGUGAGAAUCCAUUCCACCGAAAGCCUAAGGGUUCCUGAGCAACGAUCGUCGGCUCAGGGUAAGUCGGGACCUAAGCCGAGGCGAAGACGCAUAGGCGAUGGACAACAGGUUGAAAUUCCUGUACUGACGUUAUUUGUUUGAGCAAUGGAGUGACACAGGAAGGUACAGCAGCACGCGACUGGAAGAGCGUGUCUAAGCGCGUACGUUGGUAACGAGGCAAAUCCCGUUACCUGAAAGCGGAGGCGUGAUGGGGAGACAUUGGAAACAAUGGGGAACUGCUGGAUCCUCGACUGUCGAGAAAAGCUUCUAGUGAGAAUGAUGUCACCCGUACCAAAACCGACACAGGUAGGCGAGAAGAGAAUUCUAAGGUGCGCGGGAAAACCCUACGUUAAGGAACUCGGCAAAAUGCAUCCGUAACUUCGGGAAAAUGAUGACCUUCGGUACGUAACGACCAGCAACGGUUUUAGCGGAAGAAGGUGACACAAGAGAGGCCCAAGCGACUGUUUACCAAAAACACAGGUGCCUGCGAAAGCGAAAGCUGAAGUAUAGGUGCUGACGCCUGCCCGGUGCUGGAAGGUUAAGAGGAGAGGUUAGCGUAAGCGAAGCUUUGAAUUGAAGCCCCAGUAAACGGCGGCCGUAACUAUAACGGUCCUAAGGUAGCGAAAUUCCUUGUCGGGUAAGUUCCGACCCGCACGAAAGGCGUAACGA
This 1051-nucleotide ribosomal RNA is filed under the name Bifidobacterium breve. Its description in RNAcentral is "partial 23S ribosomal RNA". It matches the Rfam family "Bacterial large subunit ribosomal RNA", at positions 970 to 2007 of the family's 2925-position model. The record is from RNAcentral. Lineage: Bacteria; Bacillati; Actinomycetota; Actinomycetes; Bifidobacteriales; Bifidobacteriaceae.